UUCCUCUUUUUUCCCAUACAC
Molecule: non-coding RNA, 21 nt
Filed under: Caenorhabditis elegans
Lineage: Eukaryota; Metazoa; Nematoda; Chromadorea; Rhabditida; Rhabditidae
Source: RNAcentral